AUAUCAAGUUGAAACACCGGUUCUCGUACGAUCACUGAAGUUAAGCAACAUCGAGCCUGGUUAGUACCUAGAUGGGUGACCGCUGAGGAACACCAGGUACUGUCAG
Molecule: non-coding RNA, 106 nt
Organism: Acanthosepion pharaonis
Lineage: Eukaryota; Metazoa; Mollusca; Cephalopoda; Sepiida; Sepiidae
Source: the annotation of a GenBank genome assembly